CGUUGCAGACCGUCGACGCGGUCGAUACUAUUGAGUGCGGUUUGAGAAAGCCGAAGUUUCCAAUUUUUGCUAUUAAAAAAAAAGAUAAUUAGAAAAUAUUUAAGUAAUACAGAAUGUUUACUUUGCAAUAACUUCAACUUCUUAGUUAUUUCCGUUUUAUUAAGUGAGCUUUUCAGAUCACGAAAAAACUGUAUGUGAAAUAACUACGAGAUGCAGGAAGGCCUACUAAUUGGAUUUCACAUGAUCUCCUGCGUGCAAUUCGCGUUCUCCGUGUAUUAUGAUUACAUGUACACUAUUGUCCCUCCGAAUCUUCUCAAAAUGCACAACAGCUAUGGCGGGAAAUUCAAGUUCCUCACUUUCUGGGACGCGAUCAUUCAAGCGAUAUUUUUCUUCAUAUGUAUUCUGAAUGAUUGGUUCGGCACAAAUGCAGUUAGCCCUAAGAAGCCACCAUUCAUACGUAAAUUAAAGGAUCAUGUACAUGCGAUCCUCGGUUUUCCGAUCGCCAUGUUCGUUGGAAUAAUAUUCUGGACUUUAAUGUUUGUGGAUCGCGAAUUGGUGCUUCCAAAGGCGCUGGAUCCUUACUUUCCAUGGUGGCUCAAUCAUUUGAUGCACACAAUGAUCAUGGUUUCCACGCUAAUAGAAAUGAUGAUAGCCCCGAGAAAAUAUCCAAGGAAAUCAUUUGGCCUUUUGUGUUUAUUAGCCUUCAUGAUUGUAUAUUUAAUUUGGGUGCAUAUAAUUUUCUAUAAGAGCGGUAUCUGGGUGUACCCAGUACUAGAUGUGUUGCCGCUGCCGUUACGAGUUGUAUUCUUCUUUGUAAUGCUUUUAAUCACCUUAUCCUUGUAUUUGAUCGGCGAAGCAGUGGACAACUUCCUUUGGGGUAACGAAUAUACUAAAAGUAAAAAAUCUUAUGCCAAGAGCAAAUAGCCUCGCCCAUGGUGAUUAGCUGCGCUGACUUCGGUCAUACAUUAGCCUCCUCUAAGGUGGUGGUAAAUAAAAAUUAAAAACCACUUUUCUAUCUCCUCCACCUCUCCCUCCUCCUAUCAUCCUCCUGCUCCAUUUAUCCUACAUUACGGCAUGCACGCGUAUCCAAUGGAUAAAUUUUCUUUCGGAAACUCUUAAACAAAAACAUGGUAAUAUGUGCAUGCAAGAACAGAGCGCGUUAAUUUUUACCCAAAAGCAGAAAGCACGAGGAGAACGCGGUCGUUAACAACUUGUUCACUUGAAGAGGGUUGCGUGGCUGGAGCAUGUAGAUGUGACUUUUUUCUCUCGUGUGGUUUGUGACAUAUGCAACAAAGAAAAGGGAAGACUAAUUGUAAUAACUAAGUUCACUGCACACACUCUGAUGCCUGAUAUUCAUGGUGAUGUAAAUUAAAAAAUGCAAACAAAUGGAAAGUAAAAAAGAGAAAAACACGGACAAGACACAUACGUACACACGAUGCAACAGCUAGUACAUUUUUAUACGUUCGAUAUUUGUUACUCUGACAACAAAGAAAUGAAAUAAAAUUUAGAAAGAAAGGAAGAAAAUGCGUCAUAGAGAAAUGGUGAAUUGUGAACACGUGUGUGGAAUGAAUGCAUUGUUCCGCGUUUUGAAGGAAAAAAGUACGUAGCAGAAUGUAUCGGGCCGGAUUUGAAAGCAUAAUGAAGUGAGGCGAAUCGAGCAAGAGGAAUAUGCUUUUGCUGGACUGAUCGAGCAAAGAAAUCAUUAGCACGUGUACUCGUGUUCACCAAGAUUUGAUGCCAUCGAUGAUUCUCGUGUCGAAAACGUAUCGAGUGGAGAUGAGAAAUGCCGUUUUUGCAUUUAUAACAGAUUAGACUAACUUUAGAGAUCUAAUUUAGCAUUUCGUCAUUUAUAUAAUGUACAAAGAAAUAUGACGUAGUCGAUCAGGAGUACAGAGUCUGUUAACGGAUUUUAGUUAUCUUUUAAAUAAUAAGUGCAUUAAAAAAAGAAAAGAAAAAAAGAUGUAUAAUUUUGAAAGAUCUUCAUGAAUUUUCAAUAUUUAUUACUACAAAAUCAAAAUAUCACAUUAACGUGAUUGACUUUAUCUGUGAGUAAAUUGGACUCGCAUACCGGGAAGUUGUUAAACUAUAUACGGAAAAUAUCAGUUAUCGAUAACGGGUUGACCUUAUCUAUAGUUAUGUUCCAUAAAUAUAUUAGUAAAUUUCAGAAUACAUUUUCACAAAGAUACAAUGUGUUGUGCUAAUAUUUAACUGAGACAUUUUUGUUUAUAGAACUAGAUAUUUUCCAUUUAUUUCAUAAAAAAUGUUGUUUAUUAGUUGUAAAUUAGUUAUUCUAACAAUUUAUACAAAAUGGAGGCAAAAAUUAUCGAAGAAAUGAUGUAUUGCUAAAUACGUAUCGUUUUUGUUUAAUACUAUUGAAUAAAGACACCUUUUAAUGUAUUUUUUUGUUAAUAUUAUAUAUAUUUUAAAUGUUGUAUUGAACAUGUAGAAUGUAAUUUCUUUCAAUUCGUUGCACAAUUCGUCUUAAUUUUUUAAAGAACAAAUUUAAAAUAAGAAAAUAAAUUCUACUUGUACAUACAUAAAAAAAUAUUUGUAUGUGACUUAAGUACAGUAGGAUAUGCAUUUUGUAGAAUACUGUAAUAUACAGAGCAAUGUUAAAAAUAGAUUUAGAUUGUUCUUUAUAAAAAGCCAAGCGAAAAUUAUACUUAUGAUACGUUUACAACUUUAGUAUUGUAAAAUGUCACCGAAUUAUUUUUUACUAUAUUGCAAUUUUAUCAAUAAUAAAAUGUAUAAAAAGUAAUAAUGUA
Molecule: RNA transcript, 2765 nt
Organism: Bombus huntii
Lineage: Eukaryota; Metazoa; Arthropoda; Insecta; Hymenoptera; Apidae
Gene name: androgen-induced gene 1 protein-like
Exons: 6
Source: RefSeq, a predicted model, not a curated record